CCUACGGGUGGCUGCAGUGGGGAAUAUUGCACAAUGGGGGAAACCCUGAUGCAGCAACGCCGCGUGAGCGAUGAAGGCCUUCGGGUCGUAAAGCUCUGUUGCCAGGGAAGAACGUCCGUUAGAGUAACUGCUAACGGAGUGACGGUACCUGAGAAGAAAGCCCCGGCUAACUACGUGCCAGCAGCCGCGGUAAUACGUAGGGGGCGAGCGUUGUCCGGAAUUAUUGGGCGUAAAGCGCGCGCAGGCGGCUGUUUAAGUCUGGUGUUUAAUCCUGGGGCUCAACCCCGGGUCGCACUGGAAACUGGACAGCUUGAGUGCAGAAGAGGAGAGUGGAAUUCCACGUGUAGCGGUGAAAUGCGUAGAGAUGUGGAGGAACACCAGUGGCGAAGGCGACUCUCUGGGCUGUAACUGACGCUGAGGCGCGAAAGCGUGGGGAGCAAACAGGAUUAGAUACCCCUGUAGUC
This 464-nucleotide ribosomal RNA is filed under the name uncultured bacterium. RNAcentral describes it as "bacterial SSU rRNA". It matches the Rfam family "Bacterial small subunit ribosomal RNA", at positions 338 to 795 of the family's 1533-position model. The record is from RNAcentral.